This 253-nucleotide ribosomal RNA is filed under the name uncultured bacterium. RNAcentral's name for it is "partial 16S ribosomal RNA". It matches the Rfam family "Bacterial small subunit ribosomal RNA", at positions 524 to 776 of the family's 1533-position model. The record is from RNAcentral. RNAcentral also lists the same sequence under 1 other name.
GACGAGCCACACAAACGUUAUUCGGAAUCACUGGGCUUAAAGGGUGCGUAGGCUGCGCAGCAAGUUGGAUGUGAAAUCCUACAGCUUAACUGUAGAAGUGCAUUCAAAACUGCUGUGCUCGAGGGAGACAGAGGUGAGCGGAACUGAGGGUGGAGCGGUGAAAUGCGUUGAUAUCCUCAGGAACACCGGUGGCGAAAGCGGCUCACUGGGUCUCUUCUGACGCUGAGGCACGAAAGCUAGGGUAGCGAACGGG